UACGUAGGGGGCAAGCGUUGUCCGGAAUUAUUGGGCGUAAAGAGCUCGUAGGCGGCUUGUCACGUCGGGUGUGAAAGACCGGGGCUUAACCCCGGUUCUGCAUUCGAUACGGGCUAGCUAGAGUGUGGUAGGGGAGAUCGGAAUUCCUGGUGUAGCGGUGAAAUGCGCAGAUAUCAGGAGGAACACCGGUGGCGAAGGCGGAUCUCUGGGCCAUUACUGACGCUGAGGAGCGAAAGCGUGGGGAGCGAACAGG
RNAcentral lists this ribosomal RNA (253 nucleotides) under uncultured bacterium. RNAcentral describes it as "partial 16S ribosomal RNA". It matches the Rfam family "Bacterial small subunit ribosomal RNA", at positions 524 to 776 of the family's 1533-position model. The record is from RNAcentral.